This 14929-nucleotide long non-coding RNA is filed under the name Amborella trichopoda. RNAcentral's name for it is "long non-coding RNA (ATRI_LNC002467)". Lineage: Eukaryota; Viridiplantae; Streptophyta; Magnoliopsida; Amborellales; Amborellaceae. The record is from RNAcentral.
CAAAACUAGUACAAUAGAGUUCAAGGCUCCGUGGUCUAAGGUUACAUAGUUUAGAUCAAACAAGACAAUCAGGGCUGAGAGCCCAACUACAUACAAGAUCUAAAACUUCUCCUUGAAAUGGCCGCCUUGAUCCUUAACUGCAACUCGCAUUCCCAGCUCUGAACCUGCCACUCUCAAUCGCCAAGGAGAAAAAAUGUGGGAUGAGCUUUGAAGCUCAGUAAGAAAAUCUAGUGUUAUGCAUUGGUAACAAUUUUAUUAAAUAUAGGAAGUUGCACAGUAGUGGUCCUAUGCAGUAAUCAAUAUAUCAAUACGUCAAUUGCAAACAUGACAUCCAAAUAGCAAUAAUCAUGCAAUCAUUACAAUUACAGGAAAUCACAUACACAAUUCAUUCAUUACACACUCACUCCCUAAUCCACCGACUCCUUUUAGUAGAAGCCCUAUCCAUCAGGCCAAGCCAAACCCGUUGCUUAGGACUUCUACCAUCCCAUAGGAGGGAGGGUAAUGACAAGUGGGGUAAUCGGCUUCGUAAUACCCUCAACUCACGCAUACGGUCUCUAGCGCGCAUUGGGGUUCGACAGACCCUUACCUUGCAAGGCAUCAAUAAAUCACAUAUCUCAUCUCAUAAAUUACAGGGAGCAAUUGUCUUUUCUCCCCUAACCAUUUCCUGUCAUUGUUCAUGUUAGGGAACCUGGUGGCAUUACUGUCUUAGCGUACCAGUCUCCACUACCGAUGGGUAUCCCAUCGCUAAAUGGCCAGUAUCCAUAAACGAUGGUUAUUAUCACAAUAAUAUAACAGAGCAGUGUUCACUACCAAUGGGCGUCCCACUGCGUAAUGAUCACCAUUAGGGCCUCAUCUCUCGGUCGAACAUUCCAUUCAUCCAUGCCAAUUCAAGGCUUUGUAACAAAUAAAUCAAAUUCUCAUUAUAAUAAUAUGACAUUUAGCGUAAGGCACCCAUCACAUAGGCUAGCAUGGAGUACUUACAAGUGGUUAUUAUUAUUGACAAUCUGGCACUAAUCAUGAAAAUUUUGUCAUUAAGUUAUCGCUUUGAUAUUGCCAUAUCACUUUUCACAUAGCACAUUGUGGCAAAGCAUCAUUCACAGAGUCUUAGAGUACAAGCAUGACAAUUAUCAUAUAUCAUUCACACUUUUCACUUAUUAAGGAAAAAUUUGAUGUUCCAAUUAGUAGCUAAAUGAGAAAUUAAAUACUUCACUUAUAAAGGAAAUCGGCCCUUAUUUGUUAGAUCAAAGGCUUGGCCCCAUACACGCGAUAGUUGUUGGAAAACAGUAAGCAGUGACGUGAUAAUACAUCUUGAGGCAUAACUCAUAAUUUAUAGGAAAUUUCGAAAAUCUCAAAACAUGCACAUUGGUGCCCAUUCAUAGACAUUUCCAAUGGUGUAAUUUACGGGCUUUUGGAAGCCUUUUGCUAGGGCAAAGGUGUGUCCCAAAGUGAGUCACAGGUGCUGGGAUUUACAGCAACUGUGAGUAGUGACAAGUUUCACAUUUUGGUCUACAUCUUUUAAUCUAUACAGCAUUUCAAUAUGGCAUCAAAAGAAAACUUAAAGUGGACACAUGUAUCUCUCUUUCGGGAUCGGUUUGAGUCCGUUUGGGUGCUGUUUGGCCAGCAAAACGCAAGAGCCCUCAUAAUUGCUAGAAAUUUCCUUUCCCACAAGUAUUCACAUGUUAUUAUCAUAAUACACACCAGUUAUAAGUUGAAUUAGAAAGUUUGGCAAGAAGAUUUCCUUUAUAAUUUUUUCCAAGUUCAUUGACAAUGGAUAAUUUCUCAUUCCGUUUCCAUUUUCCACAAAUCUCUACGUUCUUGCAUUUUAACCUACCAUUUUCCUAUUUUUCAUAUCACUUUAUUCCAUGGAGAUCUCAAGGCAUAGCAAUAACUUCAUGAAAAAUCUCAAGGCCUAGUACUAAAUCCACUUACCUAACGGCCACGAUGCUCCCAACUCCCUUGCACAGGUCGCCCCUUACUCCCCCACGGCAGAUUUACCCUUGGAUUCUCACAUGUAGGUUGCCCUUGCUCCAGCCGGCAACUGCCCAACGACAGUAGCACAAGACUCUCUAAAAAAUAAGGUUUGAGGGAAUGAGAAGGAAAACGGUGCUGAGGGUGAGGAGGGGUGUGAUUAAUAGGCAUGUGGGUUGGUGGGAUUCACUAUGGCUGACGUCGCGGGUGAUUGGGGAAAAGGGUUGUGGCUAACAUCACACGAGCUGCGCGGUGAUGACAAAUUUGGCGCGAAGCUGACCUGCUACGCACAAUAUGCUCGCAAGGACGCUCCAGCCGAUGAUACCCUCGUGAUGAUGUGCCAAACGACAAUACACUCGUGGUGAUACUCUAGUCGGCGAUACUAUUGCGGCGAUGCCUCCACUCUCGCGCAGUUACCUCCUCUCUCGCACAGUGGUACCUCCUCUCUCGCACAGUGGUACCUCCACUCUCACGCGGCAAUACCUCCACUCUUGUGCAACGAUACCUUCUCUCUCGUGCGGCCUCCUCUCUCGCGCAACGAUACCUCCUCUCUCGCAUGGCGAUACCUUCACUCUCGUGCGGCGAUACUUCCUCUCUCAAGCGGCGAUGCCUCCUCUCUCACGUUGCGAUACAUCCGCUCUCGUGCGGCGAUACCUACUCUCUUGCUACUUACACGGCGUUGUCCCUCUAUUGAUUCUAUUGUCGUGUGCAUCUCAAGAUCAGGAAAAUUUGUGGUCCUUACAUCAACAAGGAGAGACAAUGGAAUUUUAAAGAAUAUGAAGGGAUUAGAGGUCAAAGAAAGAGGCAAAAUGACUGCCCUUGCCCUUGACUGCCCCUUUGAUUCAAAAUAUCCCCCAAGGGCAAAAAGGGAAAACAUUUUCAAAAGGUGUUAGAAUGGAGCGAACCCGGGCUUGUUGCAAAGCUCGAGCCCGACCUAGUCCAAAAAUGUCUGUUUAAAGCCAUGAUUGGGCCUCUUACCCAGGCCACUGUGCCCAUGAAGGCUUGGGUGGACUUGUUCUCCUUUUCCUCUGUCAAAUGCUCAUACCCCGCGCCUAAGGGUGGGUCCGUCUCUCUCUUCCCCCUCUUGUUCUUUCUUGUCUUGCUUUCCCCUCUCAUCGAAGUUCCAGGCCUGUGCCUACGGUGGGCCUGUCAUCACUCAUUCUCCGCCUCUCUCAUGCCCACUUGAUAAAUAUUUUUGGGCAUGCUCCAAGGCGCGUGCCCGUCAUCCUCUCGUUUAUCUUUAUCACCCCCUUUCUCAUCAAAGUCCUAGGUCCGUGCCAAGGGCGGACCCAUCAUCUCAUCCUCUUUUCAUUUCUCUCGUCUCUUUUGAUAGGUAUGGACCCCCAACCAAAGGGUGUGUCCAUUAUCCUCUCUCAUUCUAUUCUACUUUAUCAAAAUUUCACCCUCAUUUCUCAUUCAUCAUUACUCACAUGAGCCUAUGGUUUAACCAUGAGCUCAACACACACUUGUGCACAUUGAUACAAGGUGAUCAAAGGGGUUAUGCUCUUGUUUACCUACACACACUAACCCCCCAAUGGGCAACCUUGAGCUAUGUGAAGCCUAUAAUCUUGAGCUCAAUAGCCCCAUUUUUAUACCCUCUACAUUCAAAACAUGAUCCUGUUAGCCCAGUAAAACCCAUCCCAGACCCACUUUCUAAACCAAUUACAAACCCACCAGAUUCAAAUAUCCUAAAAAUGAUGUACUUCACCAGGUCAUCAUCAUUGCAAAGGAUGUUUUCUACCCUUAAUGUGCCUGAUCCCCAGUAGAGACACAUGCUUAAUGUGUCCUAUUCCCAAUGAAGACACACUGAGCACUUUUUACAAAGGUAUCCUUGUCCCUCAAAUGCCACUAGAGAUACACCUUUGCAUAGGCUUCAAAAUUGUAGUUAAGCCUAUCAUUUGGUUGAUGCAUGACUUACAAAAUAAUCACGAUUUCCACUGUAGACCAUGAUGACUUAUAAAAGCCACGGGAGUCCCAAUCACCCCCAUCAACUUGGCUUAUUAUCCCCGUAAGUUAGGUAAAAAAUCAUCUCUUUGUCUAAGAAAUUACCCUUUUCAUUGAAAUUCCAUCCACCAGCUCAAAUAUUAUCAUAAACCAUCCUAGAAACCUCUUCACCUGAGCUUCACCUAAGAACUCCAUUAUCCCCAUGGGGCUACACUAAAGCAUACCCUACUCAUUUGAGCCUUCAUAAGAUCUCAUUUGAGCCUUCAUAAGACCUCAUGAGUACUACCAUGCUCGAAGAGUCAUAUGGACCUUCAAUAGUUCAUUAGCCCCAGUGGAUCAUUACCCCCAUCACCCCGGUGGUCUAUCACUUUAGCGAUUCAUAAGCCACAGUGACUGGUCGUCAUCCCCAAUGGUGUAGAUACAAUAUGACUUGUGUAUGAAACAUGUUAUAUCUUCAUCACCCAAGGGAGCCUUUCAGUCCCCAAGAAGGUAACCACUUCUCUACCCUAAAGAUACCUAUUAUCCCCAAGGAGUUAUCAUGCACCAGUGAUCUCCUGGUAUACUUAAACCGCUAUAUCCCAAUAAGUGUGAGUCAUUCAUCACCUUGCAUAAACCCAAAAUAUCUCCAUUAGUUUGCAUCCUCCUAAUAAACGCCUCACCCAUAGUAUUUGUUACCUUAGUGAGCCUUAUACGGUCAUAACCCCUCCAUCAUAUUCAUCAUCAAGGAGGAGGUCUUCCCAUUUAUAAAGACAAACACAGUCAUGAAAUUGUGGGUAAAAUUGUUAAAAAGAAGCCAAGCAUGAUGAACAUCUAAUGAGGAUCAUCAUGAGUAAACGUGAGAACUUCAAGUGAACAUAGCCAUGAAGCUCUGGGUAAGAUUGCCAAAAAUAAAAAGUUGGGCAUGGUGAAAACCUGAAAGGUCACCAUGAGUAAAAAUGAAAGACGGGCGUGGCUAUGAAGCCACAAGUAAACGUGUUCUAAAAUAGAAAAGUGGGCAUGGUGAAAAUCCACAAGGGUGCCAUGAGUAAAACUGGAAAUAAAAAGGUGGAUGUGACCUCGAAGUCACAGGUAAAAGAACCUCAAUAAACGAAGAAGUUGGUGAAAAUCGUUCUGCGACAGCUCAAGUGAAAACCUGAAAGGGCUCCUGGAAUAAUAAAUAGUUGAUGCAGCAUUCACCCUCAUAGGUGGCUUCAACCAAUUACAGCAAAUGCUCGGUGGUUUAGGAAUUAAUACCCUCAUGGAUACCUUACCAUCGACCAAAAAGAGCUUAAGAAAAUCCAACAACUUUGGUUAGAAUGGUGAAUGACUCCUGAAGAUUAGAAGAAUCAUCAAGAUGGCAUGUCAGGAUAGCCAUUUGUUGAAGAGAUUCUCCAAUCUAAGAUGUCAACCAAAAACAGGAAGAGCAUGUCCACAAUUCAACAUAGAAGUUCGUAUAAGGCAAUUGAUUGCCUAGCCUGAAUCGAUACCCCAGUUUCGAGGGUAAUUGUCUUAUUAAUGUUCCCAUCUAUUAGCAAGUUUAGACCUUUGGGACGGCCACUAAAAAUCCAUCAACUUAGUGCUAGUAUGAUAGGAGUUUUCAAUGUAAAAAGGGAAGGAAACCCUUAAGCAAGGCCCCCGCUGCUAGACUUUCAAAAAACAAAAUCUAACAGAUUGAAACAAAGUCUGCAAGCAAGACCCCUGACUAUCAGACACAUCUGGAUUCUGAUAAUAAUGGCUCCUAAGCCCUUAAACAAGGCCCCCAGUUGUUGGAACAAAAAAUACCACUGGAUUGGGAUCAAGCCCCAAAGGCACCCACCAGUUAGCGCAUUUAGAAGCAUUGUUGAGCUGGGAAGCAAGCCCAUAAGCAAGGCCCCUGGUUAUCAUGCUACCUCAGAAAGGGGAUUCUAGCAGUAUUGGGUUUAUCAAGCCCUUAAAAGGCCCCCAAUCGUUAAAAUCCACUUCGGACAUCCCCAAGGAAAGAAUCUUGGCAUUGUCUCCCCCUCAAGAAUUAUGUUGAUGUCAAUGAUCGAGAAGAAAAAGAUUGUUAAUAGAUAAUAAAAGCACCUUGUUGUACGUCAUUUUUUACAUACUUUCAUCUCCCAAGCGAACAAGGAGAGAGCCGCAACAGCCUAGCCUUGCAGGUACACAAGACACCGGCAGGCCAACGUUGUGUAUUAAAAUAAAGCCUCGAACCAUAUGACUUGGGUACGGUGCCAUCACACCAAGGAAGGACCUUAUAAGUGUAGACCUAUGCUAGCAGCUUCAAAACUAUAUCGAACCACUGCCAUCACAUUCAGAAUGUCAGAAAACCUCAGGGGACCAAAUUUGGACAUAAUCGGACCACCCAAAAGGGGUAUACACCCAGGCGGCCUCGCAGCAGGCGGGUUUCACACUAGCGCAGUGAGGCUCCACCGAACCAGUCCCCAAACAUGAAGACUGCAACAUCAUAUUUUGGGAGCAGCUUUAAGAACCCAUGGUGCCUUCCACUGAAACCAGGAAGGGCUCAGAUCCUAAUAUGUUCAAGAUCACGCCAACCUCGUCAUUUUGACCUAAGGCAAGCACUUUGUGAGACAUAGAGUCAAACUUCUCCUGAAAAGAAUGUGCCCGCAAAACCAAAAAGACCAGGUUCAAGAAGAAGAAGCCUCGAAUCCAGUGAAGCACAGCUCGACAUCCACGCAUCGGAUCACCGCAGGGAUGAGUUUAAUGCAACUACCUCGCGAAGAGCUGCAAAUUGGUAUAACUCUUACGUUUAAUCCAAGGUCCAAUGGAUGCAAGUCCCUAGGUCACAAAAAAAGUAAAUCUGCCCGGUUACCGAAAUCCCUCUUUCCGUUGACCUCUCAAAUUGGGCAAAAACGUAAACCAGAAUGGAAUCAGCCUAAACUUGGUCUAAAAUUACUGUGACUGUCUCCUCUUUCAUUUGCAAGCAGAGCUAAGAGUUAGAACAUCACAGGUCGAAAUGCAUUGGCGAUCAAAGUUCACAAAUCUUGCUAGACUUCCACCCCUUGGGAAACGGCCACUGUUGCAUGACUAAAGGGUAUCAAAAUGCUCAGAGUCACAAGGACAUUGAAGAUAUGUUGACAAAUCUUCUGAGCAUCACCGCAAGUUGUAGAAAAAGCUUCCAAGAUCUACCAUGGCAGAACAACCUACAUGCAGGGACAGCUUCUUCGUUAGCGGAAAACAUAUCAGGGACAUUUUGGUUAUUACGCCUAAUUUCGAGAUUUAUUCCCAAUUUCUUAAAUUGUAAUUAAGCUUUUUUUUUUAGCAUUCAUCCCUAUUUGGUGAAUCAUCUAUAUAAGUAGGCUUAAGUCACUUGUAAACGGGGCUAGAAAAAUCUUUUUGGCGGGGUAUUUACCCAUUAUAAAACAGAGGCAUUACGCUUGUUCUUUUUGUCGUUUGCUUCUGAGUUCUUAGUUCCAUCAAGAAAACAGAGAAAAAUUUGAGGGAGAGAAAAAACCCCUGAACGCACGGGUCCAUGGGCACCUCCGAGUGCACGGACUCUUCCUUCCUCUUUCCAAAAUCGGGUCACGCUCCAACCCUUUUCUCUCUCUCUCUCCCCCUUAUGCAACCCACGUCACCAACAGAUCCACGGACGCGAGGAAGGCCACGGGCUCCAACCCUUGGGUUCUCUCACAUCCCCCCAUCAGCCAGCCCCUCGAGACAAUAGCCAUAAGGAGGAACAGCCAUAUCUCAUACCGGUCUUAAGCGACUGAGAGAGAGAGUAGAGAGGUUGCGAGCCUGAAGAGAGUCUUUGUCCAAGCCGGAGGGCUUCAUGACUGUUCUAAGAGGGAUGACCACCCGAACAUGUCCCCCGAUCCCCAAGCGGUGAGGCUAGCGUCCCAAAGCCCCCCCAGCUGUUAAAAAUCUCUCUCAUUGUUGGUGCCUAUUCACCCAUAGGAGUCCCGCACACCUGCGCGCACCCCUCACCGGUGCGCGCCCGCACCUCCUCGUGCGAGCCACCCUGCAGUUGUCCAAGAGAUGCUUCUCAUACCAACCCGCCAAGAACUAAGUCCAACCACACCUCAAUAAGGAUUUGAAAGAUGAACUUUGAUGACAUUUUGUUCCGAAUAUUACCCUCCUUGCUUCUCUCAAAGAGUAGAAUUCGAUGGCAAAAUUUUUUAUAUGUCAUUUUUGACGUACCUAUAUCCCUUGAACGAAUAAUGAAAGAGCUGGUAGUAACCUGGUCCUGCCGGUGCCCAAGACGCCGCCAUAUCAUGUGAUCACUGUAGCAAUAUUGGGCGACCUCUGAAAAUGUGUCAGAAUGGCCUCUAAUUGCAUGAGAGGGUAGUUUUGGAUACCCCAAGAACACCCAUAAAGUUUCGUCACGUUCUGAUACGUUUUGAGUUAAUCAGGACGAAACGCACUUUUCAAAUCUAGUUCAUGUCAUGUUCAAAAUGGACUAUAUAACUAUAGCCCUACUUUAUAGGUCUCAAAAGAGUAACAUGCCACUUUCAUUGGAUCCGAAAAGUUGAAAAACCCUCAAGGACCAAAUUUCGGCUCAAUCAGACCCCCCGAGACCAUUCUAGGCCUAACUUAAAAAAAAAAGGUGGGUUUUACACUAUUUUAGUGCAGCCUCGCUGAACCAGAAAUGGAAACUUUGUUUUCUCAUGGCAGAAUGAAUUUCAAAUGCUAAUACCUUGCUCUUUUUUUGUCUAAUUAAGGUCAAAUUCGGACAUGAGCUAGAUCUCAGCGAUACGCUCGUUUUGACAUAUGGCACCCACAUGGCGUAGCCCGAAACGAGAGAAUUCUUAGAGAGAUGUCGGUCUCAAAACAUAAAAAUUAAGAUUUUAAAAAGAGGAACAUCUCAUUCUUUAAGAGGCUAUAGCUCAAAAUUCCGAUGUCGGAUCGUCGCAAGUAUGUGUCCAUUGCGACCGUGCAUCGAAGAGAUUCAGUUUGACAUAAUUUUUUAGUAUGAUCAGAGGUCGAAUGACAUCAAAUUUUGAGGUCAAAAAAGGCAUACUUUUCCAGUUGCUGGAAUCCCACUUUUCGGCGACGUCCCAAAUUUGAAACGCGCUCAAACUAAGACCAAAUUGGAUGAAAUUCAUCACAAAAUGAUCAUGAUAAUAUUCUAUUCAAUUUGUGAUCAAAAUGAAGGCUCGGAACAUCAUGAAUCAUGUCGAAUCAGUAGUCGAAGAAUCAUAAUUUUAUGAAAUUUGGCCGGAUUUUGGGUUUUUUCUUAAAACAUUGUUCCAAGACGAUCAAUGGGUAUAAAAACGCAUGUAACAAUCCAAGCAUCAAUUCUAAGAUAUUUGAUGACUCGAAUUGCCGCAGUAAACAUCCGAAAAAGCUCCCAAUGCUUAACAAUGGUAAGAGGCCCUUCAUGAGGGAUGGUUUUAUCAUUUGUUAAAAAAUAUUUAGGGUAUUUUGGUCAAUAAUUCCAAAAAUGGGAUUAUUAUUUUAAUCCAUUAAAUGUGUGCUUUUUGACAAUUCUAGUGGUUUUUGAGCAAUCCAGCCUUGUUUUGUGGUUGCUCUGAAUAAAAAACUUAAGUCAUUUGUAAUAUAUCUCUUAGAGAAACUCUUGAGAGUUUUGGAAAUUAGUGAGAAGAGCUUGAGAAUUCUAAGAGCUUAAGCUUGCUCUUUUGGGUCGAUUCCAAACCCAAGACUCAGGGAGAGAGGAGAGAGAAACAAUUUUUAGAGAGAGAAAAUACUCUUAGGAACCCUUCACUCCCUAGAACCCCAAAAUUUCUAUUUCCUUAGGAUUCCCAACUCCCAAUCUUACCUUAUACACUCUAGUUCCUAUAUACCCUAGAAAUGCUAACUCUCAAUCCUACUCCAUACAAUCUACACCCUACCUUAGCUUUCCUACACCCAACCCUACUCCAUACACCAUAGUACUCCAUACACCAUAGUUUUCCAUACACCUUAGUUCUCUUAUACCUUGCCUUAAUCUAUACACUUUAGUUACACCAAUACAUCAUAGGAUCUAUACACACUAGUUCCCAUAUACCAUACCUUAACCCAACCCACCUAAGCGAUAUACCUAGACCUUAGACCCUAACCUUGACCCAUAAAGAUCAAGAUUUCUCUGUCAAGUGCAUGCAAAGGAACCAAUGAAGGUCUACGUAAGCUCAAGCCUAUUCUAGGUCCACUCUCUAUCCUCUUCCUUAUCUCUAUCUUCUCUCUUUCUCUCUUUCUUCUUGCUUCUCUCUCUCUCCCUCUUCUCUCUUGCUCUCUUCUUUAUUUCUUUCUUUCUUUCUCUCUUCUCUCUCUUUCUCUCUCUUUCUCUCUCUCUCUCUCUGCUCAAGCCCAAGGCGAGUCCGAGCCCCCUCCUCUCCUCUCUCUCUGCCACUCUCUCUCUCUUCUGAAAUCCCAGAUCCGCACCUUGGGGGGUGACUCUUCCCUCUUUUGUUAUAUUCUUUCUUCUAUCCCCUCACAUCCAAAGAUCCCGGACCCACACUUAAGGGGGGUUCGUAAUCUCCCUCCCUUUCUUAUUCUCUCGUCUUCUCUCUCACCCUACGAAGGUCAUGGACCCACACUUAAGGCGGGUCCAUCUCGUUUCCCCUACUCUCUCAUCUCCCAUAGAGUCCGGAACCGCACCUAAGGCGGGUCCAUCUCAUUUGCCCUAUUCUCUCAUCUCCCUUAGAGCUCGGACCUGCACCUAAGGUGAGACAAUCUCUCUCUCCCUUAUACUCUCAUCCUCCCUCACCCCCUCAUGCCUUACUUAGUCCCAGACCUGCAACUAAGGCGGGUCUGUUCCUCUUUUUUUGUUCUCUCACCUCUUCUCACCCUCUCUCGCACCACAAAAUCCCCGACCCGUACCUAAAGCGGGUCCAUCUCCUAUACCCACACCUCUUACCCCCUCUCAUUCUCAUCUCCUCCAAAGUACACAGACCUGCACCAUAAGUGGAUCCAUCACCUCUUCACUUCUUUAAACUCCAUACUCUAUCUCUCUCUCUCUCUCUAACCCAUAUAUUCAUCUCUCAACUAUCAUUUCUUUAUUAUUAUUUUAUCAUUUUUUUAUUUCCUCUCUUUACUUGCUACUUCUUUCACCCUUGAGCACUUAAUCUGGGGUCUUCUUGUGAUAGUGCCUUAGAGUUCUAACUCUAGGAUUGCUAUCCAACCAUCAGCUCGUACAAUGUUGUUGAGUCAUAAGAGACACUGAUUCUCUUGCACUCGAUCACUUGGGGUGGGGUCAUCCUGAGCUAGUUUUUCUUAGAGUUCUAACCCUUAUACUACUCUAACCACCGGGUUAUACAGUGUUCGAGUUGUGAGAGAUUUUCAUCUUUUUUCACUCUCUUCGCUUCUCUGCCUGAAUCAUUGUUAGCGAGGAUGAAAUUAACAUUACUGAGAGAAAACAAGUAUGGGAACUUGUCGACUUAUCUGAAUAUAGGAAGGCAAUAGGAUGCAAAUGGAUUCUCAAGAAGAAAUUUAAAGUUGAUGGAACCAUUGAUAAGGCUAGAUUAGGAGCCAAAGGGUUUAUUAAAAAAGGAGUAGAGAAUGUGGAGACAUAUGUCCUUGUUGCAAAAUCUACAUCUAUAAGGAUAAUUAUAAGCAUUGGUAGAAUAUUAAGACUUGGAAUUAUUUCAAUUUAGAUAUUAAUUCAGCUUUUUUUAAAUGGAGAAUUAAAUGAAGAUAUUUAUAUGAAAUAACCAGAGGGAUAUAUAAUUCUAUGUCAAGAAAAAAAGUAUAUAAAUUAAAAAAAUCUUUAUAUGGCCAAAAACAAUCAUCUAGGCAAUAGUACAUAAAUUUUCCCAAGGCAAUUGCCCAAAUUGAAUAUAUAUAGCUAAUAUAUUGGAUCACUGUGUAUAUGUUUCGAAUAGUAGGAGUAAAUUUGUGAUUUUAUCCCUAGAUGUAGAUGUUAUUCUAUUAGCUAGAAAUGAUAUGAAAAUGAUCAAUAAAACUAGAUCUUGGCUUAAUUCAAUUUUGAAAUGAAGGAUAUGGGAGAAGCGUUAUAUGUUUGGGAGAUUACAAGGAAUAGAAAUUAUAGGCUUCUCUACUUAUUUUAAAAAAAAAAUUUGAAAAAAUAUUCUUAAGAGAUUUAAGAUGGAAUACUACAAAACAAUGAAAGCUCUUAUUUGUAAGGGCAUGAAGCUAUCAAAUAAAGAAUGUCUAAUUAAUGAUGCAGAUAAAGCUAAAAUGAAACAUGAUUCAUAUAAAACAAGCAAUUGGGUCUACUAUGUACAAUACCUUACAUUAGUUUGGCAAUAGGAUAUAUCAGUGGAUUUCAAAGUAACUCAAGUAUGACUCACUGGCAAGCAAUUAAAAGGAUACUCAGAUAUAUCCAAGGGAUCAAACAUAAUAAAUUGUGUAAUCAAGUUGAUGACCUGCAAAUUCAUGAAUUCUCUAAUGUAGACUUCACAUGAGAUCCUGAUGAUAGAAAACUCACUUUUGAAAAUCUUUUCUUCUUUAGAUGAGGUUAUGUUUUUUGGUUUAGUAAGAAACAUGAAUGUGUUGCCCGUUGCAUAUUAGAAGCGAAAUACAUCUCUUUACUAUAGCUUCUACUUUUGUCGUCUAGACAAACCACUUCAUUAGGGAUUUAAAGCUGCAAAUAACUGACAAGCUAGUUCAGAUAUUUUGUGAUAACGAGACUGCAAUUUUGUUAACUAAAAAUUGACCAAUUAGCUCUAAAUGUAAACAUAUAGCAGGUGAUUAUCAUUAUAUCCAAGACAUAGUGGAAAACAAAGAAAUUGCAAUACGUUAUUUGUCUUCCAAUGAUAUGAUGGCGGAUCCUUUAACCAAGGGAUUGACUGCUAAAAUGUCCUCUACACAUGUGACUAUGAUGGGACCUAGAGAAUAUAAAUUUUUCUCCCGAGAGGCACAUUUGAAUGCUACAAAGGACUAAAUCAUGUAGAUGUACAAAACUUUGUAGCGAGCUAUGUCAUAUUAGGUAAAAUAAUAAAAAAAUAGUAAAAAAUUAUCUAUAUGCUUCACAAUAAAAUUCUUCUCUCCAUAUCUAUUUUCUUUCUCUACCAUUCUCAAUAAAAAAUUAUUUCAGGCAGGUUGGAGCCCAGCCCUAAUCGGGCCAAAGAUGCAAUGGCCCGGCCUUGGCCCUAGCCCUAUCAAGGCCGGGCUAGGCCAAGAAAAAUAGAAAAAAAAGAAAAAAAAAAAAAAGUAAAAGAAAAAAUCAAAGAAAAAGAGAGCUGGGAUUUCUACCAUUGGGCCAUGGUUGCCAGACCUUAGCCUGUCCUUAGGCCACAUUUUGUGGCCUAAGCUCUAGUUUUUUGGGGCUAGAUUGACCAGGCGGGGUCGGGCCACUCAGCCCACUGCCACCCUUAUUGCUCAAAAGUAGGGAGUUUAUUGAAGUGGAUUACUGUGUUCACUUUAGUGACUCAAUUGUUUUAUCGAGUAUUAGAUAAUGGUAAAGUCUCUGCCGCUUCAUAAUUUGAGUAAUUUGGCAAGAAGUUCACAGACGAAAGAGAACCGAAGCAAAUACAUUCAAAAAGUAAUAUGGGAGAUAACUUGAGAAAUCAAAAUUAUUGUUGUAUUUUAUUAUGGAAAAUAUUACCAUUUACCUUUGAUAGAAGGGUUACAAUUAAUCUUGACUAUUGAAUGUGAAAUUGGGUGGUUAAAUUUAUUCCAUUGACCAAAUUUAAAGUUUAAAAGAAAUUUUCUCGAAUAUUGUGACACAUCCAAGCUAUCAAAUUUCACAUCUGAUGGUUAUAAGUAAUUGUAACUUCCUUGCACUAAAGGUAAAUCAUCUUAUUAUAUACAAUCCUUUUAUAAAUAUUGGAAUUUUUUUUCUUUUCUCUUUUGGAUGAGUUAGUGGGGAAAGAGCCCCUACCCUGAUAGGAAUUGAGCCUAGGAUGUAGCAUUGCAAAUUGUCAAGCACUUACCACUUAAGCCUAGGCUCUUUCCUAAGCAAGUGGUAAGUUAGUAGGGAUUUGAGCCCCUACCCUUUGGUGAGAAUGGAGUCAAAGACUUCAUCAUGGGACUCGGCAUUACUACUACCAAAGCCCUAGGCUAUUCUCUAAAAAAAAUGGUAAUUAAGUAGGGAUUUGGGCCCCUACCCUUUAAUGAGAAUAAAGUCAGAUAUCUAAUUAUAGAGCUCGACAAUACUACCACCAUGGCUCAACCACCCAUUUUAAAUCUAAGUUAGUGGGGAAUUUCCUUUCUUUUGAACUUUAUCAAUGGUAUAUCCCAACCACCCAUUUUAAAUGUAAGAGCCACUAAUAAUCAUGACCUCCUUGUACAAGACAUAAAUGAUCUUAUAGGGGUGGCAACUGGUCAGGUAUAGAUCAGGUCCGACUAGACUCGAAUUCCGAAUCCUGACCCUAAAUACCACUUAUGGACCCUUCCCCUUAUCCGAGAUAUGGAUUAAGACUUGGGACCCGGACCCAUACCCAUACUUGGGACAAAAAUGAGGAGAUCCCCUUUUUAAUGCAUAAUUCUGUAAAAAAACUCCCAAAUUUCAUUUUUAAUGCAUAAUUAUGUUGAAAUCACCCAAAUUUCCUCAAUGCAGCUUCUUCCACAAAGAGAAAGUUACCAAAAAAACUGCAUUAAAAUGCAAAAAACAAAGCUCCAAAAUCAAAUAAUGACUUUCCAUUUUUGUUGAUCUUCCACCGAGUAUCAAGAUGCAAAAAAGAAAGUAUGAAAAUCAAAUAAAAACUUCCCAUUUUUGCUGAUCAGCAAAUGCAAAAAAUAAAAAUAAAAAAGCACGAAAUUAAAGAAAAUUUUGCUAUUUUUGCUGAUCUUCCACCAAGCAUCAAGAUGAAAAAAUAAGAAUACAAAAAAAUCAAAUAAAAACUUAGCAUUUUUGCCAAUCUUACACCAAGCAUCAAAUAAAAACUUGCCUUUUUUGCUCAUCAAUGAUCCAGCUAGCCUUUUUUGCUCAUCAAAAAAAACUUUCCUUUUUUGUUCAUCAAUGAUCCCGCUUGGAAGAGAAAUAGGAUUUGACAGCAGCAGGGGAAGAGAGAGAGAGAUAGUUGGACUUUUGCAUGGGAAGAGAGAAGAGAGGUAACGUUUUGCAGGAGAAGAUAGAGAAAAAAAUGCAAAUCUAGUGUCAAAGCUUCACAAUUCGAACAAAUGCAGAGCUUGGCCGACUAAGGUUUAUGUGGUCGUAGCUUCGAAUAGAGAGAGGGAGGGAGCUCAAAGCCUCAAUGCU